This 492-nucleotide ribosomal RNA is filed under the name uncultured bacterium. Its description in RNAcentral is "partial 16S ribosomal RNA". It matches the Rfam family "Bacterial small subunit ribosomal RNA", at positions 29 to 507 of the family's 1533-position model. The record is from RNAcentral.
AGUGAACGCUGGCGGUAGGCCUAACACAUGCAAGUCGAACGGCAGCACAGUAAGAGCUUGCUCUUACGGGUGGCGAGUGGCGGACGGGUGAGGAAUACAUCGGAAUCUACUUUUUCGUGGGGGAUAACGUAGGGAAACUUACUCUAAUACCGCAUACGACCUACGGUUGAAAGCAGGGGGUAUUCGGACCUUUCGCGAUUGAAUGAGCCGAUGUCGGAUUAGCUAGUUGGGGGGGUAAAGGCCCACCAAGGCGACGAUCCGUAGCUGGUCUGAGAGGAUGAUCAGCCACACUGGAACUGAGACACGGUCAAGACUCCUACGGGAGGCAGCAGUGGGGAAUAUUGGACAAUGGGCGAAAGCCUGAUCCAGCCAUACCGCGUGGGUGAAGAAGGCCUUCGGGUUGUAAAGCCCUUUUGUUGGGAAAGAAAAGCAGCAGGUUAAUACCACGCUGUUCUGACGGUACCCAAAGAAUAAGCACCGGCUAACUUCGUG